RNAcentral lists this long non-coding RNA (697 nucleotides) under Selaginella moellendorffii. RNAcentral's name for it is "long non-coding RNA (SMOE_LNC000665)". Lineage: Eukaryota; Viridiplantae; Streptophyta; Lycopodiopsida; Selaginellales; Selaginellaceae. The record is from RNAcentral.
UUGGAGGGAUGGUCGAUUUGCUGGGACGAGCAGGCUGGCUGGAAGAGGCCGAGCAAGUGAUGCGAAAAAAUCCUUGCGCUUUGGCUCACGCUGUUUUGCUGGGAGCUUGUCACGUCCACGGCGAUGUCGAGCGAGGGAUUCGCGUCGCACAGAGCGCUCUCGAGUUGGAUUGGAAGAACUCGGCAUCGUAUGUCACCAUGUCUCACAUGUACGCUGGCGCUGGAUCACGGCAAGAGUUUCACGAGUUAGAGACCAGCUUAUCAGAAGAACUUGGACCACUCACCUCUUGAAGAAUCUUGUGCGCUGAUAGUCGAAGAGAUCGCAAGAACUCGAGAAGAAAUGAGGAUGAAUGAUCAAUCAGCCAUUCAAGGAAAAGAGAUUUUCUACAUCAGAGGAGAGCGACCUGAUCGAGUCGAGCGGUGAAUUUCUACUAGCUAGCGGCUACGUUUCCUUGCCUUCGCUUACGCGAUGUCGGUGUCGUCGAAAUCAUCCUCGAAGCUGUUGAAGAAGUCGAGAUCGCAGGGCUUGUUGUCGACGAUGGCGUCGCCCAGCAUCUCGAUGCCGUCGCCGUCGAUGUCCAUGUCCAUCGCGACGCUGCCGCCCACGCCCUGAUCCUCGACAUCGCCCGCCACAUACACUGGGAAUGGCUUCAUCGUCCCUCCUAACCCUAGAACAAGAUGGGAUAUUCCCACCGAUA